GACGAACGCUGGCGGCGUGCUUAACACAUGCAAGUCGAACGAAUAGAGGGAAAGAGCUUGCUCUUUCCGGAAUUGAGUGGCAAACGGGUGAGUAACACGUAAACAACCUGCCUUCAGGAUGGGGACAACAGACGGAAACGACUGCUAAUACCGAAUAAGUUCCAAGAGCCGCAUGGCCCAUGGAAGAAAAGGUGGCCUCUACCUGUAAGCUAUCGCCUGAAGAGGGGUUUGCGUCUGAUUAGCUGGUUGGAGGGGUAACGGCCCACCAAGGCGACGAUCAGUAGCCGGUCUGAGAGGAUGAACGGCCACACUGGAACUGAGACACGGUCCAGACUCCUACGGGAGGCAGCAGUGGGGAAUCUUCCGCAAUGGGCGAAAGCCUGACGGAGCAACGCCGCGUGAGUGAUGACGGCCUUCGGGUUGUAAAACUCUGUGAUCCGGGACGAAAAGGCAGAGUGCGAAGAACAAACUGCAUUGACGGUACCGGAAAAGCAAGCCACGGCUAACUACGUG
Molecule: ribosomal RNA, 513 nt
Filed under: uncultured bacterium
Lineage: Bacteria
Description: partial 16S ribosomal RNA
Rfam family: Bacterial small subunit ribosomal RNA
Source: RNAcentral